Molecule: ribosomal RNA, 62 nt
Filed under: Aspergillus caninus
Lineage: Eukaryota; Fungi; Ascomycota; Eurotiomycetes; Eurotiales; Aspergillaceae
Description: partial 28S ribosomal RNA
Rfam family: Eukaryotic large subunit ribosomal RNA
Source: RNAcentral
AUGUUGACCUCGGAUCAGGUAGGGAUACCCGCUGAACUUAAGCAUAUCAAUAAGCGGAGGAA